CGACGCUGGCGGCGUGCUUAACACAUGCAAGUCGAACGAGAGGACAAGAGAAGCUUGCUUCUUUUGGAAUCGAGUGGCAAACGGGUGAGUAACACGUAAACAACCUGCCUUCAGGAUGGGGACAACAGACGGAAACGACUGCUAAUACCGAAUACGCUUGGGAGACCGCAUGAUCUUCCAAGGAAAGGGUGGCCUCUACUUGUAAGCUAUCGCCUGAAGAGGGGUUUGCGUCUGAUUAGGCAGUUGGUGAGGUAACGGCCCACCAAACCUACGAUCAGUAGCCGGUCUGAGAGGAUGAACGGCCACACUGGAACUGAGACACGGUCCAUACUCCUACGGGAGGCAGCAGUGGGGAAUCUUCCGCAAUGGGCGAAAGCCUGACGGAGCAACGCCGCGUGAGUGAUGACGGCCUUCGGGUUGUAAAGCUCUGUGAUCGGGGACGAACGGUCCGUAAGCCAAUACCUUAUGGAAGUGACGGUACCCGAAUAGCAAGCCACGGCUAACUACGUG
RNAcentral lists this ribosomal RNA (510 nucleotides) under uncultured bacterium. Its description in RNAcentral is "bacterial SSU rRNA". It matches the Rfam family "Bacterial small subunit ribosomal RNA", at positions 33 to 507 of the family's 1533-position model. The record is from RNAcentral.